GUCUCGCUCUGUCGCCCAGGCUGCAGUGCAGGGGUGCAAUCUCCUCUUCCUGCAACCUCUGCCUCCUGGGUUCAAGCGGUUCUUGUGCCUGAGCCUCCCGAGUAGCUGGGAUUACAGGAGUGAGCCACCAUGCCCAGCUAAUUUUUGUAUUUUUAGUAGAGUUGGUGUUUCACCAUGUUUCCCGGGCUGGUCUUGAACUCCUGACCUCAGGUUAUCUGCCUGCCUCAGCCUCCCAAAGUGCUGGGAUUACAGGCAUGAGCCACCGCGCCCAGCGGAAACGCAGAUUUUGAUUCAGCAGGUGUGGGGCAAGGCGGGAGAUUCUGCCUUGCCAUGAGCGCCCAGGUUUGCAGCUGCUGGUGGUCCAUUCCCCAUACCUUGAAAGGCAAGGGGAAGUCCCUCCGCCUGUCGUCCAGGAAGCCGGGUAUUUAUCCACCAAUCUCUCAGCCCAUGGCUGAGGGCUGCAUUAGGGGGUGUUAAUCCCCACUCCUGCACCCCAGCUCUCAGAAAGCCGGCAGGCUGAGUUGCCCGUGCGGGUCAAAGAAAGUCUCAGGUCCCCAUGCACAACAAUGCGGAGUGCCUAGGGCCAAAGGGAGGGGUGGAGACUUCUGCUCCCCCAUCCUUCAUUUCACUCCCUCUUAGGCUUUUUUUCCCCACUAGGUUGGAGGUGAAGCCGGCCUGUUUAUUUCUCCGUAGUAACUUUUUUUUUUUUUUCAUACGGAGUCUCGCUCUGUCUCCCAGUCUGGAGUGCAGUGGCGCGAUCUCGGCUCACUGCCUCCCAGGUUCAAGCGUUUCUCCUGCCUCGGCCUCCCAAAGUGCUGGCAUUACAGGCGUGAGCCACUGCGCCCUCCUGUAAUUUUCUUCAGUAGUAGUUAGAAUAAGCAAUCUCUUGAUCCCCGCCCCUCUCCUUAAGGAAGAUGCUUUUAAGACCACACGCACGUAUUUUAUAACAAACAUAAGCUCCCCGGGCGGGGGUGGGGGAACGAGAAGGCUCGCUUCCUUUUUGCCAGAGCCUAUCAAAGCUCUGCAUUACACAAAUUGUCAAGUCCACCAAGGGCAAGCGCGCGCUAAUCCUGUUUUAGCGAUUCAUUUCCUUUCCCGAGCAAAUGCCUCCGGGCAUCUAUGAAUGCGCCCUUUCAAGGAAAGCGAAAGCCCAAAGCGAGCGGAGACCGUUUCUUUGCAGAGAAAAUGUUUCUCGCGUUGGAAGGAAAGCUGAUGAACUCUAGCAGGGCGUUGCCCCCUCCCAGGAGGCCAGUUUUCCUGCACACAACAGCGGCUGACAGUUCGGGGAGGGCCCCGGGCCGCGCACAGGCCCUCACAGGCCGGCGGGCGGGGCGCGCUGUUUGUCGCCCGGGCCCGCCUGGGGCUCAGCGAAUCACGGAAAGCGAAAACCGCCUCGCGGGAGGCGUGGGCUGAGCGCAUCCCUAGGGGUCGGCGCCACCCUCCUCGGUCACUCAAGUGGACGGGUGGGGAGCCUGCGGCUGGCCACCUCCGCACCCUCGGAGCGCUCCAGGGGGCCCCAACCCAAGCCCUGCACCUACUCUUGAAGGCGACGGCCGCGUUGUUGACCAGUACGUUGAGCCCCCCGUACUCCUUGCGCAGGAAGUCGCGCAGGGCGCGGAUGCUCUGCAAGUCGUCGAUGUCCAGUUGGUGGAAGCGCGGGCUCAGGCCCUCCGCCUGCAGCUGCUGCACGGCCGCCUGGCCCCGCGCCACGUCCCGCGCGGUGAGCACCACAUCCCCAGAGAACUGUCGGCACAGUUCGCGCGCGAUGGCCAAGCCGAUGCCCCUGUUGGCCCCGGUCACCAGCGCCACGCGGCUGCAGGACGACAUGGCUGAGCGGGGAGCGCGGGGCACCUGCGUGGAGGGCGGACCGGGCUUCGGACCACCUGGGGCGCGCCCCGAGGAGCCCAGCUAGUGUCAAUGCCGCCGCGCAGACUAAGUUCUGGGAUCCAGUGCUGCGAGUCUUAAAGAAAAAGGCCCCGGCUCCGGUCCCUCCCCUCCGAGGAGGGGCCGUCUGUGCCCUCUGUUCCAACUCCCGGGCCCGCCCCCUGCCCACGCUGCGCCCUUCAGGAUCCGGGCUCUGAGCCGCGGGGUGAUCUGCGAGGUGUCCGAAGCCAAAUCGGACCUUGAUGGGUCAGUCGGGGGCUCCAGAUUCUUGGCAACUGGACUGAAGAAAUUAUUUUGGGAAAACCCCAAAGUGAGAAAAACAAGUGCUGAGUAAUUUUCUUGGGUGUGCGCCCAUCAUGCACUGCAAAAUGCGAAUGUUUGCUUUUUCCUAAGAUGCAGUGACUUACUUAGACACAGUAACUGCUUCUCUGGACAUAGGUUGCCUUGCUUGCUUAAAAGGAACUCAAGAGAGGGAACUAGAUGCCCUGUGAGCGCACUUAGCAGGUGUGGGCAGGCGACAUCGCUCUGGGAUUCCCAGUGAAUGUGCCCCCAAGUGGGAGGGAAUGUUUUUAUUUAAUCCUACCUAACUCCUACGGGUGCUAAAAGUGUCUGCAUUUAGGUUUGUCCAGGGAGGAUAUAGAUCUAUAAAGAUCUGGAUUGAUCAUAUGUUCUCACAGAUCUGUGUACCGGCAAAGAAAGUUAAACCAAAUUCCCAAAGGUGUGUCAAGCUGUGGGCACAAAAUUAGAGUCUCAUCCAUCGUCUUCAGUGUAAACUGAGUUGUUUGAUCAGUGACUUUGAGAUUUGGGGAGAACCAUGACAUCAUCACGACUCAGCCUUUUCCAUGCAGAGCUGGCUAACCCGCCUGUGUCUCUGUUACUCUGACUCUACCUUCUCUCUCAAGUCCUUACUUGAGGUUCCGGAGGUGGGCCCCUGCUGUGAUCUCCUACUGUGCCUCCCCC
Molecule: long non-coding RNA, 2844 nt
Filed under: Homo sapiens (human)
Lineage: Eukaryota; Metazoa; Chordata; Mammalia; Primates; Hominidae
Description: non-protein coding CBR3-AS1:28
Source: RNAcentral